This 382-nucleotide ribosomal RNA is filed under the name uncultured eukaryote. RNAcentral describes it as "SSU rRNA". It matches the Rfam family "Eukaryotic small subunit ribosomal RNA", at positions 587 to 972 of the family's 1831-position model. The record is from RNAcentral.
AGCUCCAUUAGCGUAUAUUAAAGUUGUUGCAGUUAAAAAGCUCGUAGUUGGAUUUGUGAUUGAGUUGCGGGGUUCCACACUGUGUGUGGAUACCGAUGCGACUGGAUCAUCCUUGGGUGGAACCAUUCUGGCAUUCAGUUGCCGGUUUGGGGAUGCCCAUCGUUUACUGUGAAAAAAUUAGAGUGUUCAAAGCAGGCUUAUGCCGUUGAAUAUAUUAGCAUGGAAUAAUGAGAUAGGAUCUUGGUACUAUUUUGUUGGUUUGCGCACCAAGAUAAUGAUUAAUAGGGACAGUUGGGGGUUUUCGUAUUCCAUUGUCAGAGGUGAAAUUCUUGGAUCUCUGGAAGACGAACUACUGCGAAAGCAUUGACCAAGGAUGUUUUCA